GGGCGCGUAACUCAGUUGGUAGAGUGCCACCUUCACACGGUGGAAGUCACAGGUUCAAGUCCUGUCGCGCCCA
This 73-nucleotide transfer RNA is filed under the name Enhygromyxa salina. It matches the Rfam family "tRNA". From Rfam's summary of the family: Transfer RNA (tRNA) molecules are approximately 80 nucleotides in length. Lineage: Bacteria; Pseudomonadati; Myxococcota; Nannocystales; Nannocystaceae. RNAcentral also lists the same sequence under 1 other name. The record is from Rfam by way of RNAcentral.